Asterias rubens (European starfish) is the source of this 293-nucleotide long non-coding RNA. RefSeq lists it as uncharacterized. The transcript is spliced from 3 exons. Lineage: Eukaryota; Metazoa; Echinodermata; Asteroidea; Forcipulatida; Asteriidae. The record is from RefSeq and is a predicted model, not a curated record.
CGAGGAUGUCUUAUGGUCUGAGGAUGCAAGUUUCCAGUACGGAGUCCAAUGAAAACUGCACAUCAAUGGCGUCUGCGUUCGUGCUGGUGACGUCCAUCCGCCGAUGACCAAGAAGACAACCGCUGGUUGCCUGGCUUCAUAGAGGAGUGUUCCUGUCUCCCUGGUGGAUGAGAGAAUGCAUUGCAGUCUGAUGGAUCAACAACAGAUGUGAUGUCACAAGGAUAAUGGCUACCAAGGAUCAUGGAAGGAGGACGAGGGUGUCUUAUGCUCUGAGGAUGCAUGUUUACAGGUAA